GUCUACAGCCAAGCCACCCUGAACAAGCGUGAUCCCGUCUGAUCUCAGAAGCUAAGCAGAGUUGGGCCUGGUUAGUACUUGGAUGAAAGACCAUCUAGAAAGACCAGGUGCUAUAGGCG
RNAcentral lists this ribosomal RNA (119 nucleotides) under Pteropus alecto (black flying fox). Lineage: Eukaryota; Metazoa; Chordata; Mammalia; Chiroptera; Pteropodidae. The record is from RNAcentral.